Long non-coding RNA from Lutra lutra (Eurasian river otter), 713 nucleotides. RefSeq lists it as uncharacterized. Lineage: Eukaryota; Metazoa; Chordata; Mammalia; Carnivora; Mustelidae. The transcript is spliced from 3 exons. The record is from RefSeq and is a predicted model, not a curated record.
CGUUUCCUCCGCGGCGAGUCCCUACGCUCCGCCGCGGGAGCCCUGGGAAGGAAUCCCGCCGCCCCGCGCGGUCCGGGGCUGCGGCGGGUGUCCCGGGAGGCGGCGCCCUGGGGCCGCGGCCGAGAAGGGCUCGCGUUCUACUCCUGCGCUCCAGCCGCCAAGUUCCAGGCGGCACGGGCCUCUCGAGACGGAGAGGGCGCGGCUCCCUCGCUUUUUUUUCUGCGGGUUCCUGACCAUCCCCCCGACUCUCCUCCAGUAUUGAAAGGAAAGGGGCGCCGAGCCGUGCCCGGUCCCGCCCCUCUCAGGGACCCCGGGCGUCAGAUUUCCCUCCUGUGAGUUUGGGGCAGAGACUUCAAAGCAGCGCUCCACCUGCCCUGCCCCAGCACCGCGCCUUCGCUCCCGGGAGCCGGACCCGCCCGGCCGCAGAAAGAAUGCAUCUGUCUGUCCCCUUUACUUGUCCUAAUGAUGGAUACUUAGGAUGCCGCGGAUUCCUGUCUUGCAGCCAACAACACUCAUCUGUCCCCUUGUGGAGUCCAGACUGAAUUGCUCAGAGGUACAUGGCCAGGCGGCGAUGAUAUAAGGCAAGCGCAGGUCAUGAUCUCCUGCAUCAGUGGAUGGAGCCCGGAGUUGGGCUCACUCAGCUCAGAGUCUGCUUGGGAUUCUCUCUCUCCUUCUGCACUCCUUCCCCCCAAUCCCUGCUCUCUCUCUCGCAU